RNAcentral lists this ribosomal RNA (292 nucleotides) under uncultured bacterium. RNAcentral describes it as "partial 16S ribosomal RNA". The record is from RNAcentral.
GGACUACCGGGGUUUCUAAUCCCGUUCGCUCCCCAUGCUGUCGCGUUUUAGCGUCAGGUGCGACCCAGCGUGUCGCCUUCGCCACUGGUGUUCCUCCGGAUCUCUACGCAUUUCACCACUACACCCGGAAUUCCACACGCCUCUAUCGCCCUCUAGUCCGACAGUCUCCGACGACCUAUUCCGGUUAAGCCCGAAUAUUUCACGCCGAACUUAUCAGACCGCCUGCACGCCCUUUACGCCCAGUAACUCCGGAUAACGUUCGUCUCCUACGUUUUACCGCGGCGGCUGGCAC